This is a microRNA precursor of Pan troglodytes (chimpanzee), 52 nucleotides long. It matches the Rfam family "mir-1302 microRNA precursor family". The record is from Rfam. NCBI's taxonomy places the organism in Eukaryota, Metazoa, Chordata, Mammalia, Primates, Hominidae.
GUUUUACUGUAAGUAUAUCCCAUGCAACAUUUGGGAUAUACUUAUACUAAAA